RNAcentral lists this ribosomal RNA (278 nucleotides) under uncultured bacterium. RNAcentral describes it as "partial 16S ribosomal RNA". It matches the Rfam family "Bacterial small subunit ribosomal RNA", at positions 29 to 334 of the family's 1533-position model. The record is from RNAcentral.
AACGAACGCUGGCGGCAUGCCUAACACAUGCAAGUCGAACGAGACCUUCGGGUCUAGUGGCGCACGGGUGCGUAACGCGUGGGAAUCUGCCCUUGGGUUCGGAAUAACGCAGAGAGAUUUGUGCUAAUACCGGAUGAUGUCUUCGGACCAAAGAUUUAUCGCCCAAGGAUGAGCCCGCGUAGGAUUAGGUAGUUGGUGGGGUAAUGGCUCACCAAGCCGACGAUCCUUAGCUGGUCUGAGAGGAUGAUCAGCCACACUGGGACUGAGACACGGCCCAG